RNAcentral lists this ribosomal RNA (360 nucleotides) under uncultured bacterium. RNAcentral's name for it is "bacterial SSU rRNA". It matches the Rfam family "Bacterial small subunit ribosomal RNA", at positions 29 to 419 of the family's 1533-position model. The record is from RNAcentral.
AACGAACGCUGGCGGCAGGCUUAACACAUGCAAGUCGAACGCACCGCAAGGUGAGUGGCAGACGGGUGAGUAACGCGUGGGAAUCUACCCAGAACUCCGGAACAACUGAGGGAAACUUCAGCUAAAUACCGGAUACGCCCUACGGGGAAGAUUUAUCGGUUCUGGAUGAGCCCGCGUUGGAUUAGCUAGUUGGUGAGGUAAUGGCUCACCAAGGCGACGAUCCAUAGCUGGUCNGAGAGGAUGAUCAGCCACAUUGGGACUGAGACACGGCCCAAACUCCUACGGGAGGCAGCAGUGGGGAAUAUUGGACAAUGGGCGCAAGCCUGAUCCAGCCAUGCCGCGUGAGUGAUGAAGGCCCUA